This 274-nucleotide ribosomal RNA is filed under the name uncultured bacterium. RNAcentral describes it as "partial 16S ribosomal RNA". It matches the Rfam family "Bacterial small subunit ribosomal RNA", at positions 523 to 796 of the family's 1533-position model. The record is from RNAcentral.
AUACAGAGGGUGCGAGCGUUAAUCGGAAUUACUGGGCGUAAAGCGCGCGUAGGCGGCUUAUUAAGUCAGAUGUGAAAUCCCCGGGCUCAACCUGGGAACUGCAUCUGAUACUGGUAAGCUAGAGUUUUGGAGAGGGAAGUAGAAUUUCAGGUGUAGCGGUGAAAUGCAUAGAGAUCUGAAGGAACACCAGUGGCGAAGGCGACUCCCUGGACUCGAACUGACGCUGAGGUAUGAAAGCGUGGGUAGCAAACGGGAUUAGAAACCCUAGUAGUCC